Molecule: long non-coding RNA, 438 nt
Filed under: Mytilus galloprovincialis (Mediterranean mussel)
Lineage: Eukaryota; Metazoa; Mollusca; Bivalvia; Mytilida; Mytilidae
Source: RNAcentral
UUAAGAUAAAUGUAAGUGGCACUUUCAUAAAAAAAAAGGCCUGUAACAAAUGUUUCUAUUGUUAAUUAUCUGAGCAUAGUGCGAUUUGUUUGUUGUUUUCAUAUCUUUAAAAAAAAUAUGACUGUAAUUGUCCAUUGUAGAGAAUCUUAAUGUGAUGUUGUAUUUUCCCUUAAUAUGUACUGUUAACUUAUCUAGUAUACUAAUCUUCAAUAGAUCAGAGUGAUUAAAUUGAAUGUUGAUACUUGUUAAAAUUAAAUGCGUGCAUUUCAUGGUCAAUUAGUACUGGUGUUUGAAAGGUGAAUGAUUUACUGAUGUAUGACACAGGUAGAAAAAGUCUGUUUGAUUACGCUCAAUGGACUGACACAAAGGUGAAGUGUGCAUUGCACUUGUGACUUGCUUAUGCUAGUUUUAAAUAAAUUUAAAAAGGAAAUUAUUUCA